This 6314-nucleotide long non-coding RNA is filed under the name Sus scrofa (pig). RNAcentral describes it as "lncRNA (ENSSSCG00000054813.1)". The record is from RNAcentral. Lineage: Eukaryota; Metazoa; Chordata; Mammalia; Artiodactyla; Suidae.
UACUGUGCUGAAAUUGUUACAGAUUUAAUGAUGCACUAUCAUGGAUUUGCUUUAAGGUAAGGGGGUGGGAGAGAAUUGAGUGAAAGUAUAGAUGAAACAAGAUUGACCAUGAGAUGAAAACUGUUUAAGCUGUGUGAUAGGUCAUGGGGUUUAUUAUACUAUUCUCUCUAAUUCUGUUCAAUAUUUUCCAUAUAAAAUUUUUUAUUAAAGUAUAGUUGAUGUAUAAUAUUUCUUCAAUCUCUGUUGUACAGCAAAGUGACCCAGCCAUACACAGUUCCCUGGGCUGUACAGUAGGAGCCCAUUGCCUAUCCAUUCCAAAUGCUAUAGUUUGCAGCAGCAAAUCCCAAACUCCCCGUCCAUCCCACUCCCUGCCUUUCUUCCCCCUGGCAAUCACAAGCCUUCUCUCUAUGUCUAUGAUCUGUUUCUGUUUUGUGAAUAGGACCAUCUGUACCAUAUUUUAAAUUUCACACAUAAGUUAUAUCCUAUGGCAUUUGUCUUUCUCUUUCUGACUUAUUUCGCUUAGAAUGAGAAUCUCUAGUUCCAUCCAUGUUUCUGCAAAUGGCAUUAUCUUGUCCUUUUUAUGGUGAGUAGUAUUCCAUUGUUUAUAUGUAUCACAACCUCUUAAUCCACUCAUCUGUCGAUGGACAUUUAGGCUGUUUCCAUGUUUUGGCUAUUGUGAAUAGUGCUGGAAUGAACGUAGGUGCUAUGAAUGAAUAUUUUGUCCAGAUAUAUGCCCAGGAAUGGGGUUGCUGGAUCAUAUGGUAGUUCUAUAUUUAGUUUUCUGAGGUACUUCCAUACUGUUUUCUAUAGUGGUUGUACCAUUUUACAUUCCCACCAGCAGUGAAGGAGAGUACCAUGUAAACACUUUUUUAUGAAUAUCCAAAUUAAGUAUAAAGAAUGCUGAAAGAUUUGGCAAAGACUGACCCAGUGUUCUCCUAAGUCUCAUAUUUUUUCCAAGGCACUAGAAAUAGCUAUAUUUCACUUUGUAGUCAAGCCAUAUGACUUAGGUUCUGGCCAAUAAAAUGUGGACUGAAGUGAUGUAAAAUGCUUCCAAGUGUGACCCUAAUCCUGCAUGACCCUCUAAGCUUUCACUCAUCCCUUGCCUUCAGGCUGGAUGCAAACUAGUGAAGAACUCUAAACUCCUAGGCAAUGAGGGAAGCUGAGUGAAUAAGCCUAGACCUUUGAAUGACUUCCUGGAAAAGAACUACCUCCCACACUCCGCUGAUGAACCUGUGAUGUGACUGAGAGAUAAGCCUUUAUCAUGUUUUUAAUACAGUAUUAAAUUGCCCUUAAUCUGGCAAACCAGGUUUUGAGCUUAGCUGUUUUAGACAUGGAAGAGGCUCUUAGUAGUUAUUUGACCUUUUAGCUUUGAUGAUAAUAACUAACAUUUACUGAAUAACCACUAUAUGCCAGAUAUAUCAUGACUAUAAGGGGGAAACUAGUAUUCUUCUCAUUUGGUAGAGGAGGAAACUGCAAGAAUAAGUAACUUGCCUGUCAAACAAAUAAUAAGUGACAAAGCCAAGAUUCACAUUCAGUUCUGACUCCUAAUUUCUGUGUCUGCAUCAACCCUCAAUACUACCUAAAUAUUUUGGACUUCCCCAUGGGGAAUGAAUACUGGCAUGAGCUAAUCUCUGGUAAACAUGAUGUAUCAUCUAUAAGCAGUGCUGGACCCCCAUUCUAGAGAAGAGUACACAGAAGAGAAAAUAUCCAAAGUCUGUUCUUCCCCUGCCCUUGUAAACAGUGUCCUGAUGAGCAGAACGUAAUGGUGGUGUCCUUGAUCAUCUGGGAUAAAACCAAGUGUGAGGGUUUCAUUCACUCUGAAUGGUUCUCUGAUUUAAUUCUCUUCCCCAUCUCUCAACCAUGACCUCUCCUGCAUUUGUCACAAGGAGAAAACAUCAUCUGUUCCAAUAACAACUGCUUACCCACAGCCCAUCAAGCCUACUCUUUGUGACUCUCUCUCUCCUUGAUGCCACACCAGAACCUAUGUGUCUCCAGGCUAUUCAGAGCACAUAUUCGGGCAAAAAGUCAUGUAAAAGCUCAUUAAAACUCCAAAAUGACACCAGUAAUUGAUAACUCCCUUGCUUCCUGGUCUCACUUGCCUGCUGUAGAUACCACCAGUCCUCAUUAGGCAGCAAGGCUGAGAAGAGGGCACAUCAAGCUUUUGCCAGCACUCUACCUAGGACAGGGUUUCAAACUGCAGUCCAUGGAGAGGCUUCAGGAGUCACCUGCGAAGAUGAGAGAUGAUAGAAUGUUGAAGGAGUGCAGAAUCUAAAAACCCCAACUCACUGCUAUCACAUCAGUUCACUUUAUCUGCUUCAUGUACAAUUGCAUUUGGAGACUUGUUCCACUCUUGAAAUAGAAAGGAAAAAUGCUUGCUUUGGAAGAUCUUUUGAGUCUCCAAACUUUUGAGUCCUUCUUUGAGUCUUGAGCCUCUCAGUUCCCAAUAUAACUGUUUACCGGGAGCAGAGGUGUGAAAGAAGCUCAGCUGACUGUCUCAACUCUAAAUAUUCCACUCUCUCACCCAUGGAAUCAAGAAAAAUCACAGCAGAACAGCUUGUGGGUGGAGAAAAGGGCCAUGAGUCCCACGGUUGGUUCUGAGUCUUACAUAGCAUUACAUAGCCUAGGAGCUGAAUGUACAUGACAUGAGUAGAUGGAUGGUUUGAUCUCUGUUGGUCUGGGUGUAGUUCCAUUGGACGGUGGGAAACUGGCCUUGAUCUCAGAAUGUCACAGUAUUUAUUCUUCAAGAAUCAGAGAGGCAAUUUGGCGCAGACAUGAAGAAUGUGGGAUCUGAAAUAAGACUUUCUGGCCUGAAAUCCUGCCACUUUCAAAGUGUGUCACCUUUUCCUCAUAGGGUAGGAAUAGUUAUUUCCCUCAUAAGGCUGUUAUGAGGAUUGAAUGAGUCAAAAUGUGUAAAGCACUUGGCGGCUGACAUGUUAGUGCUCAGCGAACAUUAAGAAAGGUUAAGUUCUCAUCAUUGUUGUUACCCUGUUUAAAUGCCUCCUGACUCUCCUAUAUAGAAUUCAUUAUUCUCUGCUUUGCUCAGACCUCCAGGGAGGCUGAGGAUUUUUUUUUUUCCCAAACUCUAACCCAAAUUAGAUGGUAGGGACGAUAAAACAGAUUCUUUGAAAUCAGAAUACAUAAAUAUGUAAUGUAAGUGAAGCCCUUACUCCCUCUGUAGCACUCAUGGUUAUAUGUCUGUCUCUCCCUCCCAACCUCUGGCUCCUUUGGGAUGGAUUCCACAUUUUAUCCAUCUUUGUAUCCCAAAGGCCUGGCGUAUUGUAAGUGUGCACUGCAGUUUGAUUGAAUGGGUGAGCAGCUUUGUCUGGACUAGGGAGUAGCCUGACCGUUGCCUCCUGGCUUUCGUACUUGCCUAUUUCCCAGAGACUCAGUUCCUUUCUUUGCCCCAAGAAGAGGAUGAAGUGUGGGCUAGAUCCAGGGCACCGCUUCUGGGCUUUCCUGUGAGACUGUGGAAUUCAGAGCAUGCAGAGAAAAUAAUGUUUGCUGAGCACCCAUCAUGUUCCUGGAACCUGCAUGGCUCUUUAAAACACUUAAUUCCCAUAGCAGUUUAGUGGAGGUAUAUUCUUAUUAGUCUCAUUUUCCUAGGUUUCUUAGUUUCCUAGGAAACUGAAUUUAAGCAUCUUUUCCAGGGUCACACAGCUGAUGUGUCUGGGGCAGAAUUCAGACCUGGGUCUGAAAUCACAAGUGUGUGCUCCUCCCAUUCUUCUUACAGGCUCCCGCUGAAGAAAGUCAAGCUCUGCACCUCCUCCCACCCCCUUCUCCACUCCUCCUCGACUUGCUACCUUAAGUCUUUUCUUUAUUCUUCCAUAUUAUCCUCCCUAAUAUUAUUUUUCUUCUUGAGUUGGCUUAUUUAUCACCUGGCUAUGUCUCCUUAUUAAUAUAACCAGAGCUUAAACAUUAUGUCUCCCCACUGCCUCGUUUACCAGCACGGUGCUGAGCACUUAUGAGCUUGGCAAUUAGGCUGAGCUCAGAGGGGCCAUAACAUCUGCAUCUUCCGCUGCUUUCAUAGGAAAUGGGGUAGAAAGGAAAGGAUGUGAGACAGGGCAGUGCAUAGCAUAUGCAUGGUAGAGGAGGAAGUGGGGGUGGGGAGGUGCAUUGUGAUGAUGGCACAGUCAGGCAUUUCUCCCUCCAGGUUCUCAGCCAGACUCAGUGACUUGCUUAUGGCCUGAGGCUGUGAACCUCAGGAAAACCCUAAGGUCAUUUCUGCCAAACAGCCCCCUUCUAUCUUAUUUCUAUGCCCAGUAUCAUCAUCACCAUUUGCCACCGUUAAUUUAUUGAGUGCCUACUGUGUGCUUUACACACAUCUCAUUUUAUCCAUACAACAAUCCCAUGAGCUAGGUAUUAACUUACUCCAUUAUAUAGAUGAGGAGGCUAUAGCUCAGAGAAUAUAAACAACUUGUUCAAACUCAUAUAGCUAGGAGUGGCAGAAAAAGAAAAAAGGGCAGAAACACAUAAAAAUUAAAUAAGAGAAGUCAGGGGUGAGGGCAAUUGGCCAUCAGACUUGGCCUCUCAGAGCUGCUCCUAUCUGGACACAUGCCCAGUGCAUAGAAAUAGUGGAAUGUCCCUAUCAGCUCACAUCAUGGCCUGCCUGGGGAGGAAGGAUCUCUAAGUCCCAACGAUUGAUGACCUGAUUUCUCCUGGCUUUCCAAGGAUGCUGCAGAACUGGAAGAUAUAGUCCAGGGACCAGGGAGGGCUCGAUCUUCUAAAACCCAUCACGCUUCAUACUUCCUCAACAAAGGCACUUUAUAUUCCAAUGGAUGCCUCAAGAUACCCCCUGAAAAGAUGUCUGCCCAGUAGACUAGUUGUUCUGCCCCAGAACUGUUCUUUUCUGGUGGCUUUCCCCCAACUUUUUAACUUAUUUAGUCCCUUACUCCAAUCUCAUGGCUCUCUGGGCUCAAGCCUUCCAGGCCCAUUUGGAGCCUCUCCAACAAGUAUUCCAAGACAGUUCCCUGCCAGUCACAACACAAAACCAAUUCUUAAGAAAACCAGGCUAUCUGAGAUUUUAUUACUUACCCUGGAGUUGGUCUUACCCUCCAAAGUUCUUCUAGAAUCCGUCACUGGUCCAAUUCACAGAUUUAGGCUAUUUCACAUAGCCCGGGAAAGUCAAUCUCAAGCUUUUCUUGGAAGCAGCCACUAACAAAAAAGUAAUAAGCUUGCAUGGAAAAACUAGGGUUUUUUAUUCUUAAAAUAUAUUCUUAAGACUGAUAUGAUUAAGCACAGGGAUAAGUAUUAAUAAGGCAGAUCUUAGCAGCUGUAGUUGAGGCUGGCUAUGUUGGAUGGCACCAAGCUCCUUGCAUCUCACUUUCCCUUCCCUUUCUUCCCCCUUCCUCACUCCCCUUAUUCCCACACAAAUAAGGUGGUGGUUGGCAGUUCCCACUGCCAGCAUGUAUGCCCAGUGAGCAGCGAAGUAGUGCUCACUGGUUUCUUUAAAUGUGACCAGGAACAUGGUGGUAGUUGGAAGGACCUUAGAAACUACUCAUCAAACAAAUAUUUAUUGAAUAUAUAAUAUGUGUUAGACACAGUUCUAAGCCUUCGAGACAGAGCAGAAGACAAAAAAGAUUCUUACCCUCAAGAAGGGAGAUAGACAAUAAAUAAAUACGGUUGACCCUUGAAUAACAAGGAUUUGAACUGCACAGAUCCACUUACACGCAGGUUUUUUUUUUUUUAAGUAAAUAUAGAGUUGUCCUUCCCAUUCAGGGGUUACUGCAUCAGCAGAUUGAAACUUCCACCCUCAGCUGGUUGAACCUUCAAAUAAGAGACUCGAGGGUUGUGGAGGGUCAACUAUGGGAGGUGAGCACCUGUGGAUUCUGGUAUACAUAGGGGCUCCUGGAAACAGUCCCCCUCCCCCACCAGAUACUAAGAAACGACUAUACAUCAAACAUGAGCAGAGUUAUGAAAGGGACAAGGCCGAGAAGGGGUAUGAAGAGUUGUACAGUGAAGGUGGAGGGUUAACAUUUUAAAUGGGGAGGGGCACGGGUUAGAGGAGGCCCUAUAUAGGAGGUGAUGUUUGAGCAAAGAACUGAAGGAGAUGAGGGAGUGAGGGCUGUGGCUCACUAGCGGAAGAACACUCCAUGUAGAGGGAACAGGAAAUGCAAAGGGUCUGAGGCAGAAGCCUGCCUGGCCUAUUCAGAGAACAGCAGGGAAGCUAGGAAAGGAGAGUGGCCGGAAGAAGUGAAAGAGGUCAUAGAAGACUGGAUGGACUACAGACCUUGCAGACCGGCCUAAGGGCUUAGCCUACAUGAAAUGGAAAGUUAUUGAGGGCUUGUGAGUAGUUGAAUGAUGUGAUCUGACGUCUG